This 74-nucleotide transfer RNA is filed under the name Vicugna pacos (alpaca). RNAcentral describes it as "tRNA-Ala (TGC) (tRNA-Ala-TGC-15-1)". It matches the Rfam family "tRNA". Rfam says of the family: Transfer RNA (tRNA) molecules are approximately 80 nucleotides in length. Their secondary structure includes four short double-helical elements and three loops (D, anti-codon, and T loops). Further hydrogen bonds mediate the characteristic L-shaped molecular structure. tRNAs have two regions of fundamental functional importance: the anti-codon, which is responsible for specific mRNA codon recognition, and the 3' end, to which the tRNAs corresponding amino acid is attached (by aminoacyl-tRNA synthetases). tRNAs cope with the degeneracy of the genetic code in two manners: having more than one tRNA (with a specific anti-codon) for a particular amino acid; and 'wobble' base-pairing, i.e. permitting non-standard base-pairing at the 3rd anti-codon position. The record is from RNAcentral. Lineage: Eukaryota; Metazoa; Chordata; Mammalia; Artiodactyla; Camelidae.
GGAGGGUAUAGCUCAGUUGGUAGAGUGCUUGCUUUGCAUGCAUGAGGUCCUGGGUUCAAUCCCCAGUACUUCCA